UUUGCGCCAGGGAUAGCAGCGGCAUCCUCUUUAUCGUGCUUUUCAAAACGAUGAAGAGAUAUAGCGAAUAGCCCGAUCUCUA
This 82-nucleotide small RNA is filed under the name Ulvibacter litoralis. RNAcentral describes it as "Flavo-1 RNA". It matches the Rfam family "Flavo-1 RNA". The record is from Rfam by way of RNAcentral. Lineage: Bacteria; Pseudomonadati; Bacteroidota; Flavobacteriia; Flavobacteriales; Flavobacteriaceae.